UUAAGCGACUAAGCGUACACGGUGGAUGCCCUGGCAGUCAGAGGCGAUGAAGGACGUGCUAAUCUGCGAUAAGCGUCGGUAAGGUGAUAUGAACCGUUAUAACCGGCGAUUUCCGAAUGGGGAAACCCAGUGUGUUUCGACACACUAUCAUUAACUGAAUCCAUAGGUUAAUGAGGCGAACCGGGGGAACUGAAACAUCUAAGUACCCCGAGGAAAAGAAAUCAACCGAGAUUCCCCCAGUAGCGGCGAGCGAACGGGGAGCAGCCCAGAGCCUGAAUCAGUGUGUGUGUUAGUGGAAGCGUCUGGAAAGGCGCGCGAUACAGGGUGACAGCCCCGUACACAAAAAUGCACAUGCUGUGAGCUCGAUGAGUAGGGCGGGACACGUGGUAUCCUGUCUGAAUAUGGGGGGACCAUCCUCCAAGGCUAAAUACUCCUGACUGACCGAUAGUGAACCAGUACCGUGAGGGAAAGGCGAAAAGAACCCCGGCGAGGGGAGUGAAAAAGAACCUGAAACCGUGUACGUACAAGCAGUGGGAGCACGCUUAGGCGUGUGACUGCGUACCUUUUGUAUAAUGGGUCAGCGACUUAUAUUCUGUAGCAAGGUUAACCGAAUAGGGGAGCCGAAGGGAAACCGAGUCUUAACUGGGCGUUAAGUUGCAGGGUAUAGACCCGAAACCCGGUGAUCUAGCCAUGGGCAGGUUGAAGGUUGGGUAACACUAACUGGAGGACCGAACCGACUAAUGUUGAAAAAUUAGCGGAUGACUUGUGGCUGGGGGUGAAAGGCCAAUCAAACCGGGAGAUAGCUGGUUCUCCCCGAAAGCUAUUUAGGUAGCGCCUCGUGAAUUCAUCUCCGGGGGUAGAGCACUGUUUCGGCAAGGGGGUCAUCCCGACUUACCAACCCGAUGCAAACUGCGAAUACCGGAGAAUGUUAUCACGGGAGACACACGGCGGGUGCUAACGUCCGUCGUGAAGAGGGAAACAACCCAGACCGCCAGCUAAGGUCCCAAAGUCAUGGUUAAGUGGGAAACGAUGUGGGAAGGCCCAGACAGCCAGGAUGUUGGCUUAGAAGCAGCCAUCAUUUAAAGAAAGCGUAAUAGCUCACUGGUCGAGUCGGCCUGCGCGGAAGAUGUAACGGGGCUAAACCAUGCACCGAAGCUGCGGCAGCGACGCUUAUGCGUUGUUGGGUAGGGGAGCGUUCUGUAAGCCUGUGAAGGUGUACUGUGAGGUAUGCUGGAGGUAUCAGAAGUGCGAAUGCUGACAUAAGUAACGAUAAAGCGGGUGAAAAGCCCGCUCGCCGGAAGACCAAGGGUUCCUGUCCAACGUUAAUCGGGGCAGGGUGAGUCGACCCCUAAGGCGAGGCCGAAAGGCGUAGUCGAUGGGAAACAGGUUAAUAUUCCUGUACUUGGUGUUACUGCGAAGGGGGGACGGAGAAGGCUAUGUUGGCCGGGCGACGGUUGUCCCGGUUUAAGCGUGUAGGCUGGUUUUCCAGGCAAAUCCGGAAAAUCAAGGCUGAGGCGUGAUGACGAGGCACUACGGUGCUGAAGCAACAAAUGCCCUGCUUCCAGGAAAAGCCUCUAAGCAUCAGGUAACAUCAAAUCGUACCCCAAACCGACACAGGUGGUCAGGUAGAGAAUACCAAGGCGCUUGAGAGAACUCGGGUGAAGGAACUAGGCAAAAUGGUGCCGUAACUUCGGGAGAAGGCACGCUGAUAUGUAGGUGAAGCGACUUGCUCGUGGAGCUGAAAUCAGUCGAAGAUACCAGCUGGCUGCAACUGUUUAUUAAAAACACAGCACUGUGCAAACACGAAAGUGGACGUAUACGGUGUGACGCCUGCCCGGUGCCGGAAGGUUAAUUGAUGGGGUCAGCGCAAGCGAAGCUCUUGAUCGAAGCCCCGGUAAACGGCGGCCGUAACUAUAACGGUCCUAAGGUAGCGAAAUUCCUUGUCGGGUAAGUUCCGACCUGCACGAAUGGCGUAAUGAUGGCCAGGCUGUCUCCACCCGAGACUCAGUGAAAUUGAACUCGCUGUGAAGAUGCAGUGUACCCGCGGCAAGACGGAAAGACCCCGUGAACCUUUACUAUAGCUUGACACUGAACAUUGAGCCUUGAUGUGUAGGAUAGGUGGGAGGCUUUGAAGUGUGGACGCCAGUCUGCAUGGAGCCGACCUUGAAAUACCACCCUUUAAUGUUUGAUGUUCUAACGUGGACCCGUAAUCCGGGUUGCGGACAGUGUCUGGUGGGUAGUUUGACUGGGGCGGUCUCCUCCUAAAGAGUAACGGAGGAGCACGAAGGUUGGCUAAUCCUGGUCGGACAUCAGGAGGUUAGUGCAAUGGCAUAAGCCAGCUUGACUGCGAGCGUGACGGCGCGAGCAGGUGCGAAAGCAGGUCAUAGUGAUCCGGUGGUUCUGAAUGGAAGGGCCAUCGCUCAACGGAUAAAAGGUACUCCGGGGAUAACAGGCUGAUACCGCCCAAGAGUUCAUAUCGACGGCGGUGUUUGGCACCUCGAUGUCGGCUCAUCACAUCCUGGGGCUGAAGUAGGUCCCAAGGGUAUGGCUGUUCGCCAUUUAAAGUGGUACGCGAGCUGGGUUUAGAACGUCGUGAGACAGUUCGGUCCCUAUCUGCCGUGGGCGCUGGAGAACUGAGGGGGGCUGCUCCUAGUACGAGAGGACCGGAGUGGACGCAUCACUGGUGUUCGGGUUGUCAUGCCAAUGGCACUGCCCGGUAGCUAAAUGCGGAAGAGAUAAGUGCUGAAAGCAUCUAAGCACGAAACUUGCCCCGAGAUGAGUUCUCCCUGACUCCUUGAGAGUCCUGAAGGAACGUUGAAGACGACGACGUUGAUAGGCCGGGUGUGUAAGCGCAGCGAUGCGUUGAGCUAACCGGUACUAAUGAACCGUGAGGCUUAACCUU
Molecule: ribosomal RNA, 2902 nt
Filed under: Escherichia coli NCCP15648
Lineage: Bacteria; Pseudomonadati; Pseudomonadota; Gammaproteobacteria; Enterobacterales; Enterobacteriaceae
Description: bacterial LSU rRNA
Rfam family: Bacterial large subunit ribosomal RNA
Source: RNAcentral